RNAcentral lists this ribosomal RNA (370 nucleotides) under uncultured bacterium. Its description in RNAcentral is "bacterial SSU rRNA". It matches the Rfam family "Bacterial small subunit ribosomal RNA", at positions 527 to 896 of the family's 1533-position model. The record is from RNAcentral.
AGAGGGUGCGAGCGUUAAUCGGAAUUACUGGGCGUAAAGGGUGCGUAGGUAGUUUGUUAAGUUAGAUGUGAAAUCCCCGGGCUUAACCUGGGAAAGUCAUUUAAUACUGGCGAGCUAGAGUCGAGUAGAGGGAAGUGGAAUUUCCGGUGUAGCGGUGAAAUGCGUAGAUAUCGGAAGGAACACCGGUGGCGAAGGCGGCUUCCUGGACUUAGACUGACACUGAGGCACGAAAGCGUGGGUAGCAAACAGGAUUAGAUACCCUGGUAGUCCACGCUGUAAACGAUGAGAACUAGAUGUGGGGAGGCACAGCCUCUUCGUAUUGAAGCAAACGCGAUAAGUUCUCCGCCUGGGGAGUACGGCCGCAAGGCUA